AUGAACGCUGGCGGCGUGCCUAAUACAUGCAAGUCGCGCGAACAGACGAGGAGCUUGCUCCUCUGACGUUAGCGGCGGACGGGUGAGUAACACGUGGAUAACCUACCUAUAAGACUGGGAUAACUUCGGGAAACCGGAGCUAAUACCGGAUAAUAUAUUGAACCGCAUGGUUCAAUAGUGAAAGACGGUUUUGCUGUCACUUAUAGAUGGAUCCGCGCCGCAUUAGCUAGUUGGUAAGGUAACGGCUUACCAAGGCGACGAUGCGUAGCCGACCUGAGAGGGUGAUCGGCCACACUGGAACUGAGACACGGUCCAGACUCCUACGGGAGGCAGCAGUAGGGAAUCUUCCGCAAAGGGCGAAAGCCUGACGGAGCAACGCCGCGUGAGUGAUGAAGGUCUUCGGAUCGUAAAACUCUGUUAUUAGGGAAGAACAAAUGUGUAAGUAACUAUGCACGUCUUGACGGUACCUAAUCAGAAAGCCACGGCUAACUACGUG
This 496-nucleotide ribosomal RNA is filed under the name uncultured bacterium. Its description in RNAcentral is "partial 16S ribosomal RNA". It matches the Rfam family "Bacterial small subunit ribosomal RNA", at positions 29 to 507 of the family's 1533-position model. The record is from RNAcentral.